GAUAAACGCUGGCGGCGCACAUAAGACAUGCAAGUCGAACGAACAGAAGUCAUUCUUAUAGAUUGAUGGAAGUUAGUGGCGGACUGGUGAGUAAAGUAUAAGUAACCUGCCUAUCAGAGGGGAACAACAGUUGGAAACGACUGCUAAUACCGCAUAUGCCAUAGAGACCACAUGGUUUCAGUGGGAAAGGAGAAAUCCGCUGAUAGAUGGACUUAUAUCUGAUUAGCUAGUUGGUGGGGUAAAGGCCUACCAAGGCGACGAUCAGUAGCCGGACUGAGAGGUUAAACGGCCACAUUGGGACUGAGAUACGGCCCAG
This 316-nucleotide ribosomal RNA is filed under the name uncultured bacterium. RNAcentral's name for it is "bacterial SSU rRNA". It matches the Rfam family "Bacterial small subunit ribosomal RNA", at positions 28 to 334 of the family's 1533-position model. The record is from RNAcentral.